ACAUGGAGGGCUAUGAUCUACCCAACACACAUCACACAUGGAUGGAUUAGAUUUAGCCACCCUACCCCUAAACCCUACAUUUCUAGCUAUAAAUACCCCACCCCCUUUACUUGUAAUCACAAUUUUUUUAACCUAGUUUUUUCCUAGUUAGUAGGUAGUAUAGUGCUAGAUCUUCUUUUGUUCUCUCAUUUUCAUACCACAUUUGUAAACACUUUUAUUUUAGUGCAAAUCUUCUUUUAGCUUAAUCUUGUAUUGUCUCUAUUUUUCUUGCUCCAAGUGGCAUAUUCUCCUUAGUACCACCAUAUGCUUAAGGGCUUUUGGGAAUGGGAGAAGCCUCCUAAUUAGUGUAGAUUUUAUGAUUGCCUAGAUUAGUCGUUAAAACUCUAGCACAAAAAUGAUUUGUGUGGGG
Molecule: long non-coding RNA, 409 nt
Filed under: Daucus carota (carrot)
Lineage: Eukaryota; Viridiplantae; Streptophyta; Magnoliopsida; Apiales; Apiaceae
Description: long non-coding RNA (DCAR_LNC004863)
Source: RNAcentral